GGGGAAUAUUGCACAAUGGGCGCAAGCCUGAUGCAGCGACGCCGCGUGGGGGAUGAAGGCCUUCGGGUUGUAAACUCCUUUCAACCAUGACGAAGCAUUAUGUGACGGUAGUGGUAGAAGAAGCACCGGCUAACUACGUGCCAGCAGCCGCGGUAAUACGUAGGGUGCGAGCGUUGUCCGGAAUUACUGGGCGUAAAGAGCUCGUAGGUGGUUUGUCGCGUCGUCUGUGAAAUUCCGGGGCUUAACUCCGGGCGUGCAGGCGAUACGGGCAUAACUUGAGUGCUGUAGGGGAGACUGGAAUUCCUGGUGUAGCGGUGAAAUGCGCAGAUAUCAGGAGGAACACCAAUGGCGAAGGCAGGUCUCUGGGCAGUAACUGACGCUGAGGAGCGAAAGCAUGGGUAGCGAAC
RNAcentral lists this ribosomal RNA (407 nucleotides) under uncultured bacterium. RNAcentral's name for it is "bacterial SSU rRNA". It matches the Rfam family "Bacterial small subunit ribosomal RNA", at positions 356 to 773 of the family's 1533-position model. The record is from RNAcentral.